Molecule: long non-coding RNA, 397 nt
Filed under: Nicotiana benthamiana
Lineage: Eukaryota; Viridiplantae; Streptophyta; Magnoliopsida; Solanales; Solanaceae
Description: long non-coding RNA (NBEN_LNC041153)
Source: RNAcentral
GACAGGACUCCCUCUCUUAUGUCAACAACAAGUGCUUCCCAUACUUGUUCAAAAGAUCGAAAAGCAUGGACAAUGCUAUGGGCAAAGGUAGACGAAACAACUUGAACUUCAUCGCGGAAAAUGAGCCCACACAAAAGGUGGCAGUAUAAGGAUUGGUGAAAGUCAGGACCAAAUAUUACUUCAUCAGGACUACAACAUGGAGUACACAUUGCUUUCAUUGUCUUCUUGAAUUGUGCAUAAAAAUGAACCCACACAAAAGGUGGCAGUAUAAGGAUUGGUGAAAGUCAGGACCAAAGAUUACUUCAUCAGGACUACAACAUGGAGUACACAUUGCUUUCAUUGUCUUCUUGAAUUGUGCAUUUCUGUACACAUUGGUAGUGGCUGUUCCAGCUGCUAA